AGGCGGGUCAGUAAGUCAGGGGUGAAAGUUUGCGGCUUAACCGUAAAAUUGCCUUUGAUACUGCUGGUCUUGAGUUGCGGUGAAGUGGCUGGAAUAUGUGGUGUAGCGGUGAAAUGCAUAGAUAUCACAUAGAACACCGACUGCGAAGGCAGGUCACUAACCGCCGACUGACGCUGAUGGACGAAAGCGCGGGGAGCGAACGGGAUUAGAUACCCCGGUAGUCCACGCCGUAAACGAUGGACACUAGCUGUCGGGCCUAUUGUAGGUUCGGUGGCUAAGCGAAAGUGAUAAGUGUCCCACCUGGGGAGUACGUCGGCAACGAUGAAACUCAAAGGAAUUGACGGGGGCCCGCACAAGCGGUGGAGCAUGUGGUUUAAUUCGAUGAUACGCGAGGAACCUUACCAGGGCUUAAAUGUAGUGGGACAGGCUUAGAGAUAGGCUUUUCUUCGGACUCAUUACAAGGUGCUGCAUGGUUGUCGUCAGCUCGUGCCGUGAGGUGUCAGGUUAAGUCCUAUAACGAGCGCAACCCCUACCGUUAGUUGCCAGCGAGUAAAGUCGGGGACUCUAACGGAACUGCCGGUGCAAACCGCGAGGAAGGUGGGGAUGACGUCAAAUCAUCACGGCCCUUACGUCCUGGGCUACACACGUGCUACAAUGGCCGGUACAAUGAGCAGCCACGUCGCAAGGCGGAGCGAAUCUAUAAAACCNGGUCACAGUUCGGAUCGGGGUCUGCAACCCGACCCCGGAAGCUGGAAUCGCUAG
RNAcentral lists this ribosomal RNA (762 nucleotides) under uncultured organism. Its description in RNAcentral is "bacterial SSU rRNA". It matches the Rfam family "Bacterial small subunit ribosomal RNA", at positions 573 to 1338 of the family's 1533-position model. The record is from RNAcentral.